AAUGAACGCUGGCGGCGCGCCUAAUACAUGCAAGUCGAGCGAGAAGACGUAGCAAUACGUUUGUAAAGCGGCGAACGGGUGAGGAAUACAUGGGUAACCUACCCUCGAGUGGGGAAUAACUAGCCGAAAGGUUAGCUAAUACCGCGUACGCUUCUUGGACUUCGGUUCAGGGAGGAAAGCGAUACCGUGGGUAUCGCGCUCUUAGUUGGGCUCAUGUCCUAUCAGCUUGUUGGGAGGUAACGGCUCACCAAGGCUUCGACGGGUAGCUGGUCUGAGAGGACGAUCAGCCACACUGGCACUGCGACACGGGCCAGACUCCUACGGGAGGCAGCAGUAAGGAUAUUGCGCAAUGGGCGAAAGCCUGACGCAGCGACGCCGCGUGGGGGAUGAAAGUCUUCGG
This 400-nucleotide ribosomal RNA is filed under the name uncultured bacterium. RNAcentral describes it as "bacterial SSU rRNA". It matches the Rfam family "Bacterial small subunit ribosomal RNA", at positions 29 to 421 of the family's 1533-position model. The record is from RNAcentral.